This 433-nucleotide ribosomal RNA is filed under the name uncultured bacterium. Its description in RNAcentral is "partial 16S ribosomal RNA". It matches the Rfam family "Bacterial small subunit ribosomal RNA", at positions 29 to 507 of the family's 1533-position model. The record is from RNAcentral.
AACGAACGCUGGCGGCAUGCCUAACACAUGCAAGUCGAACGAGACCUUCGGGUCUAGUGGCGCACGGGUUCGUAACGCGUGGGAACCUGCCCUUAGGUUCGGAAUAACUCCCCGAAAGGGGUGCUAAUACCGGAUAAUGUCUUCGGACCAAAGAUUUAUCGCCUUUGGAUGGGCCCGCGUUGGAUUAGCUAGUUGGUAGGGUAAAAGCCUACCAAGGCGACGAUCCAUAGCUGGUCUGAGAGGAUGAUCAGCCACACUGGGACUGAGACACGGCCCAGACUCCUACGGGAGGCAGCAGUGGGGAAUAUUGGACAAUGGGCGAAAGCCUGAUCCAGCAAUGCCGCGUGAGUGAUGAGGGUAUUAGGGUUGUAAAGCUCUUUUACCCGGGAUGAUAAUGACAGUACCGGGAGAAUAAGCUCCGGCUAACUCCGUG